GGACACGUUAGCCUGAUUGUGGUCAACAUGUAAUGUAAAUAAUAUGAACAUGUAAAAACAGAGCAAAAUGUCAAGUGGUACAUCUUAGGUAUACACAGUUUCUAUUUGGUUAAUUAUACUCCAAUAAAGCUGGGAAAAGAACAGUUUCACAAUUUGGAUCAGAGCUCAGAGGAGAGGUCAGAGCUGGAGGGUUCAAGAACUUGUUAAUUUACCCAAGUUGGCCUUGAAUUUGCUGCCAUCCUGCCUUAGCCUCCAGGAGUGCUGAGAUUACAGCCCCUAGAUCACAUCUGAGCCAAUUAGAUGAUUUGUGGAGACACCCUAGAUGGCUUCUGGAAGGGGACUGGUCACCAGAAUGACUGAGCAUGUUAUCAGAGGGUUGGAAUUUUGAGCCAAUGUAACAUCUAUGAAGGGAUGGGGAGUAGAGAUUGGGUUCAAACAUGUGGCCAGUGAUUUCAUCAAGCAUGGCUACCUAAUGAGACACUAAUAAAAUCUCUAAACACCAAAGUGUAGUGGAACUUCCUGGUUGGUGGACGCACUGAAAUGCCUGGUUGUCUAUGCGGCCUGAUUUGAUGAGGAGGCCACACAGAACCUCUGCACUGAGGAUCUCCCAGACUUUGCUCUAGGCGUCUCUUUAUUUGGCUGGUCCAGAUCAUAGCUUCUACAGAAAAACUGUAAUUAUAAGUCUUGCACUUACCUAAGUUCUAUGAAUUGAUCUAGUGAAUUUUCUAAACUGCGAGAGUCUUUGGAACCCCCAAAUUUCUAGC
Molecule: long non-coding RNA, 764 nt
Filed under: Heterocephalus glaber (naked mole-rat)
Lineage: Eukaryota; Metazoa; Chordata; Mammalia; Rodentia; Bathyergidae
Description: lncRNA (ENSHGLG00000044776.1)
Source: RNAcentral